GGCACAUGCCACCAUGCCCUGCUAAUUUUUGUAUUUUUAGUAGAGAGACAGGUUUCUCCGUGUUGGCCAGGCAGGUCUCGAACUCCUUCCUGACCUCAAGUGAUCCACCCCCUCGGCCUCCCAAAGUGCUGGGAUUACAGGCAUGAGACACCAUGUCCGGCCGAGAGAUAUCUUCUUAAAAACUGCAAUACAGGGACAGCGUGAUGAGAGGUACAGCAGAAGUUUUCUUGACUAUGAGCUACAAAAGAAGCCCAAAGGAGGAUGGAAUUGAUCUUGCCUGGGGGCAUCAGGGAAGCCUUCGGUUGGAGAGGACAUCAGAUAGCACAACAGUUCAUGCAGAGAGUGGGGAGAUGAAAUCAUUCAGUGUGUCUGAAGAGUAGGAUAUGUGGUGGGGAAGGGGCCUUUGAAGGGAUCUGAAGAUGAUUCUUCAGGCAAGGAAUUUUCAAAAUCCACUCCACAGCAGGAAUAACCUCCUAAGACUCCCUGGAGAUCCUGACUCAGCCCUUCUUGGGCCCUCGGAAUCUCUGUUUUUUUUUAAAGCUCCCAGAUGUAUCAAUCAGACUUAGAAAUCACUGCUCUGGGCAGUACGAUUCCACUUUAGGAAUUUAAGUAGGGGAGAACAUAAUCAGAUUGGCAUUUUAGCAAUAUCCCUUCAACCAAAAUGUGGAAAUUGGACUGAGAGAGAAUGGAGGCAGGGAAGCCCCAUGGGAAGCUUGUGAGAAAGUGGGGACAGGAGCCAAGGCCAUGGGAGCUGGGGUGGAAAGGAUAAGACCCGACAGCACACGGCGGUUGUGUAGCUGUAGAGAGGGGAGCAGAGUCGUCACAUGGCGCCCAGGUUUCGACUGGGACAGUAACUGGGUAGGCAGUGGUCAAGAUGGGAAAUCAGUGGAGGGUCAGAACUGGAGACAGAAUGAGAUCCUUUGGGAAACAAUGAGUCUGAGCUAUCAGCGGGCAGAUGUGGGAAUGGAUGUGAAAAUUUGAGGUCCCCCUUACGGGGGUGCUACUGGACAUCAUAGGAAUAAGUGAGUCACCCAGACAGAGGGUGAAGAGUCAGAAGGGAAGACAACGACGCUGUCAACCUUCAAGGCUCCAGAGAGAGACAAGGAGAUGAGGAGACAAGCAGACGAACAGCGGAACAAUGCAGCAGAGAAAGAGAGAAGAGAAGGAACGUCUGAACGUCGAGAGGAGUUCGGCUGCUGGACGGCCAAACUCCAGGGGAAGAUCAUCUUCCCACUCCAUUCCCCCUCCAGCUCCCCAUCCAUCCCACUGAGAG
Molecule: long non-coding RNA, 1273 nt
Filed under: Homo sapiens (human)
Lineage: Eukaryota; Metazoa; Chordata; Mammalia; Primates; Hominidae
Description: HSALNT0332169
Source: RNAcentral